Molecule: ribosomal RNA, 253 nt
Filed under: uncultured bacterium
Lineage: Bacteria
Description: partial 16S ribosomal RNA
Rfam family: Bacterial small subunit ribosomal RNA
Source: RNAcentral
AACGUAGGAGACGAACGUUAUCCGGAGUUACUGGGCGUAAAGGGCGUGUAGGCGGUUUGUUAAGUCUGGCGUGAAAGCUCUCGGCUAAACCGGGAGAGGUCGUUGGAUACUGGCGAACUAGAGGAUGGUAGAGGCGUGUGGAAUUCCGGGUGUAGUGGUGAAAUGCGUAGAUAUCUGGAGGAAUACCGGUGGCGAAGGCGGCAUCCUGGACCGACAUUGACGCUGAUGAGCGAAAGCUAGGGGAGCAAACGGG